RNAcentral lists this long non-coding RNA (3880 nucleotides) under Homo sapiens (human). Its description in RNAcentral is "HSALNT0183029". The stretch from base 3125 to 3183 matches the Rfam family "mir-3167 microRNA precursor family". The record is from RNAcentral. Lineage: Eukaryota; Metazoa; Chordata; Mammalia; Primates; Hominidae.
CAUGGAAACACACAGAGGCAGGACUGCUGGCUGCACGCUGGACUUGAGCAGAAAGAGUGCAUUGAGGAAUGAGAUUUGCCAGUUUGUGGAUCCCCUUGGCUAGUUAGAGGCGCAGGCAGCCUAACAUUGAAGAUGGGUGCUAACCAGAAGAGGAAACAGCACUGGAGCAGAAUAAUAAUAAAAAGGAAGGAAGCAAAGGCAGGGACUUUGCUUCUCUUAAUUGGUUGAUUAAAAUCCAAGUCUUUUAUCACCCCUGGUGUCUAGCACACUAUUGGGCACAUAGAAGGCUGUGAAUAAGUGUGGAAAUAUUGGAAUGGAAUGAGGGGUAAUGAGAGGAGAAGCCAGCAGUGCUUGUAAUAUCAGCACAUGGAGAGAUGCUGAGAGGGCCCCUGGCAGGAGGCAGAAGAAGAACCUGACUAAGUGAAGUGUGGACGUGCCCUGCAGGAAGUUGUUCCUUUCUGGAAGGCUUUGAAUGCCCUUUGGGUCACCAGAGACAACGCCAAGAGAAACAGCCUCUGCCAAGCCACCCACUGCUCAGCUUCAACAGGAAACCAUCGCGUCCUUCUGUUCUUUAAUGCAUGUCAGUGCCCAUUUCUGUCAGUCACCUGCAAAUGUCACAGGUGACUCGGCUCUGGUGCAGUGUGACAGUCCACCUGUCACCCUUGGCAAUGCUGGGAGCAAUGACAGCUUCAGAGUAACACUGGGGCCCGGUUGGUUCAUUGCACAGGAAGCUUAGCACGUUCAUCCGGGAGUGGCAGGAGGAGUGAUUCCCACCCUUCCCUGCCUCACUGACCUUGUGGCAAAGAAAGCAAAACCACCACUUAAUCCCUCAGUGGUUGCGUUCCCUAAAUCCUAGGACCUGCACUUUUUCUGCGUCUUGCUAGAGGACGCUGGGGUCCACCCCACAUUCACAAGGAGUUCUGUUUCUUCAGGGAGAUGCCCUCUGAAGCCUUUUUCUUACAUAGGAAGCUGCACCUGAGUGAGGGGCAACUGCGGAGGCAGAGAGGAGCUGUUCUUCUGAAGCCGCACCAAGAGCUGGGGCACUAUUUUGGGCCCUGACGCCAGGUGAAGGCUGCAGUGCCUCAGUCAGCCUGAUGGUGGCAGCAGCAGCGCUUGCAAAGCCCUGAACCUGCCCAGAGAGAGCAGAGCCCGGGAGGUCCCUUAGGACGGGGAAGGGGAAAGCCUAGUGGCUGCCGGGAGCUGGGAAGGGACGGGAGGGAUGGGGGGCUCUCCUCCUCGCCUCUGGGUGGUGAGGGCAACGUUACAGAUGGCGGCGGCUCUCGCAGGAGGCGGGUUCCUCUCUCCUGAUUCUGCAGGGUGUGAGGGUGGAGUGUUUGAGGGGAUCCGGAUGAAGGGUGGCAGCAGCUAAGGGGGUACAAUUGCAAAUGCUCAGAGGGGCUUGAGAGAGCUUCAAAGAGAGGGAGCGAGGAAGCUCAGCCCACCACACGGGUUUCCCUGCCACAGGGAUGAUGUUUCUCUCCUGUAUGUGAAGGUGAGUCCUCCCCAGCAGGGGGACCGCCAGCCCAGAGCCCCUACCUCUCCCUAGAGCCGCCUCCAGGCCUGUGCCCCCUGCCCCGCUCCAGGCGUUUUCCCUUCCACAAGGAGUGAUUCCACCCUUCCAGGGUCAGGGAGCCAAUAUUUCUGUUGUCAUUCCCCGCAAAUGCUGAAAAAACAAAACAAACAGAUGCUAAAAUGAGGCUUCAUUAUUCCUGAUCUCCUGGGCAGGCUGUGGAGGUGCUACUCUGUUUUCACCUCUGGAUGGUAUUACUAAUUUCCAACAACACCAUUAUAAAAAACCACCACGGGCCAUGGCUGUUUGAACAUCCUUCCAGGCAAGAUAACUGGAUCCUGGCCACAGGCCCUGGAAACAAUGGCCUUCAUGCUGCAGGAGAGACACCGGGGGAACCCUGUUGGCCCUAAGACUUCGUUCCCCUGUUGGCCCUAAGACUUCGUCAUGCCUUUCUUUACCUCCAAGGGGAUGGCGGCUCACCUUUUUUGCCACUUGAUAAUUGUGACGAGAUGUGUCUGAGAUCCCGAGUUGAUCCACAGGCAGCGUGAACUAAGAUAGCGGGAAUAGAAUGAAGGAAAGGUGCAGCCACCAUGGGAACAAUCCACUCCCUUGUCUGGUCUGCAGCCUGAGUGGUUGGUAGAGCUGGCGGUUUAUGUUACCUUUGGCCUUUCAUUCAGUUUUUCUGAAGUUGCUGGAGGGAUUUUCUAUACGGUGUGCUGAGACCCCAGCAGCUUCCCUCAGCUGACUCACCAUCAGAGUCCCUUGCCGCUCUCUCUGCAUCAGGGUGAGCUGCCACUGCCCCCUUCGUCCCCACAGUGCCAGCCUUUCUGGGCAGUGGAGUUGGGCUGAAGGCAGGAUUGCUGUCUUCAUUUUACUGAUAGUUCUACUAGCAAAUUCCAGGUGACUUCUUCAGCAUCUCUUGUAGAAAAGAAAACUUUUUGCAUAAGUUUUGCAAAACCUUACUUCAAACUGCAGAGUUGAUGCUACAAGGGUAGAAGAGGAAACAUAGAGCUGCAUAGUUUGAGAAUUUACUGAAAAUAAUGGGGACUGAGCUCCUCCUCAAAUUAAAAGAUGUUAUACCAACGAGGUGUUUGACCUUGGCCCUGCUGUCCCCCGACCCCUUGAUUUGGCCACUUUUUCCCUUUCUCCUUUCACCAAGAGCUGCGUUAGUGUUUUGGGAUACCUUAAUAGAAAGCUGAACUGAGGAGGGAGGAGAGUGGUGAGAAAAAAAAAUCAAAACCUGUAAUGGUUUCAGUGUGCUGGCCUCAGCAUGUUUCUCUACCCCCGAAGCCUUGUGAUUGCUGAAUGGGGACCAGCCACGGGGAGAUGGUACUGAGGCCUGUGGCCAGGCCCACUGCUGAGUUUUGCAUGCAUUCCCUUAUUCCAUCCCCUAGCAAUCUAAUAAAGUAGGGAUCCUUAGACCCAUUUGCCGAUGAAAACUACUGAGGCUUAGACAGAUUCGGUAACUUGCCUGAAGGUCAUUCGACUGGAGAGUCAAAGACCUGCCAAUCAAACACCCUUGUGCAGACCCCUUACAGCCCUUGCUGCUGCUCCAUUCAGGAGCCACCUCCAGGCCUAUGCCCACCUGUGCCCUCGACACGGCUGUGGAGGCACCAGUAUUUCUGAAAUUCUUUUUUCUGAAAUUCUUCAGGAAGGAUUUCAGAAAUACUGGUGUCCCGACAGCCGUGUGACCAUCAGCAAGCCACAGAAACCCCUGCCCUGGCCGGUGGGUCCCCUCCUUCAUAGCUUGUAGGAUUUGGGACGGAGAGCUGAUAAAAAUGGAAGAAAACCUCUUCCCCCAAACAAAAGCUGAGUAAGAAUUUGAGAAGCUUUCCUCCAUGGCUAGCGACUGCUCUCUGCCUCCACAACCCACUUCCAGUAUAGCUUAACAUUUUGAAAGCCAAAUGCUGAUUUCUUUAAAAGAAUUCAUCAUCACCCAGCUUCCCUUCAGUGGAUUAAGAAAUAAAUAAAUAAAUCCCAUUCUGCUUAGGGAGAGUUGAGCCUUGUGGUAGCUGUGUGCUGGAAGAAUGGAGCUACUCUACAUAAAAAGACUUUCCAGAACUUCAAAACCCUCCUUUUCUGUCAAGUCUAGAAUAGUAAAAAUAUCAGGAGAUUACGUGUUUCUGAAAUGAUUAAUAAUGGUUAUUAGGGGGAAAUAAAAAGACUCUUAGAAUGUAGGAGAGCCUGAGUGUCAUAGAGCCUAUGAUUCUUUUCACUUUGGUCUCGGCUGGUACAACUUACCUUGUGUCAGAAAUCAUUUUAGAAGAUGGCACAUGUCUACCCAGGCCAUGCUUAAAAUUGUAAUAUUGGUUUAAGAUAGACACUUAUGAUAAACUAGCAAAACAUGAAAGUUCUUUGACGUUUUCAAAG